Molecule: ribosomal RNA, 254 nt
Filed under: uncultured bacterium
Lineage: Bacteria
Description: partial 16S ribosomal RNA
Rfam family: Bacterial small subunit ribosomal RNA
Source: RNAcentral
GACGUAGGGUGCAAGCGUUGUCCGGAUUUACUGGGCGUAAAGAGCGCGUAGGCGGUCUGUUAAGUGUAGAGUGAAAUCUCCAGGGCUCAACCCGGAAACUGCUCUGCAUACUGGCAGACUUGAGGGUCGAAGAGGUUUAUGGAAUUCCUGGUGUAGCGGUGAAAUGCGUAGAUAUCGGUAGGAACACCAAUGGCGAAGGCGGGUCUCUGGACAGUUCCUGACACUGAGGCACGAAGGCCAGGGGAGCAAACGGG